This 724-nucleotide ribosomal RNA is filed under the name uncultured bacterium. Its description in RNAcentral is "bacterial SSU rRNA". It matches the Rfam family "Bacterial small subunit ribosomal RNA", at positions 27 to 744 of the family's 1533-position model. The record is from RNAcentral.
GAUUGAACGCUGGCGGCAUGCCUUACACAUGCAAUUCGAACGGCAGCACGGGAGCAAUCCUGGUGGCGAGUGGCGAACGGGUGAGUAAUAUAUCGGAACGUGCCCAGUCGUGGGGGAUAACGCAGCGAAAGCUGUGCUAAUACCGCAUACGAUCUCUGGAUGAAAGCGGGGGACUCGUAAGAGCCUCGCGCGAUUGGAGCGGCCGAUAUCAGAUUAGCUAGUUGGUGGGGUAAAGGCCCACCAAGGCGACGAUCUGUAGCUGGUCUGAGAGGACGACCAGCCACACUGGAACUGAGACACGGUCCAGACUCCUACGGGAGGCAGCAGUGGGGAAUUUUGGACAAUGGGCGCAAGCCUGAUCCAGCAAUGCCGCGUGCAGGAUGAAGGCCUUCGGGUUGUAAACUGCUUUUGUACGGAACGAAAAGGUCUGCCUUAAUACGGUGGGCCCAUGACGGUACCGUAAGAAUAAGCACCGGCUAACUACGUGCCAGCAGCCGCGGUAAUACGUAGGGUGCGAGCGUUAAUCGGAAUUACUGGGCGUAAAGCGUGCGCAGGCGGUUAUAUAAGACAGAUGUGAAAUCCCCGGGCUCAACCUGGGACCUGCAUUUGUGACUGUAUAGCUAGAGUACGGUAGAGGGGGAUGGAAUUCCGCGUGUAGCAGUGAAAUGCGUAGAUAUGCGGAGGAACACCGAUGGCGAAGGCAAUCCCCUGGACCUGUACUGAC